CCCCACUGUCCUCUGGACUACCAGGUUCUGUCCCAGAGGGUAGAGCUUCUGCCUCCCAUUUAGCCUGUAGACAUAAAUAGUCACGCUGAGUAAGUGCUUACAGAUCUGCUCUGGGGUUUCUUUGUAACCAUUUAAAACUAGCACGUUUUCACCAAUAAACAGGAUUCUUACUAGGAAUUUUAGAUACACAGCUACUUUCCUAUACAAACUGAGCUGGGCUUUACAAAGCCUUUGUUCCUAUCUACCUCCCUUCCUCCCUUCUUCCUCCUUCUCUUCUGUCUGCUUGCGUUGUCAUCAUUCAGCCUCCCCCGCCCGCCCCUUUCUUUCUUCUGACAGGGCCUCACUGGCUGGCCUUGAACUUUGCAUUCAAGAUCUUUCCUCUUGUGGAUUGGGGUCUCAGCUAUGUGCUGGUAUACCAUACCUGCGGGAACUUUCCUUAUUGGUUCAAAGUAUACAAUUUACGAAGGGAGGAGGGAUUUUUAUUAGCUGUAUUUAUUUCACUUAUGUACAUGAAUAUUUUGCCUAUGUGCAUGUAUGUGUACCAUAUACAAGCCUGUUGAAACCCUAGAUGGUUGUGAGCUACGGUGUGGAUGCAGGAAAUUGAACCUGGGUCCUCUGGGAGAGCAACGGUGCUCUUUACAGCUGGGUUGUCUCCCCAGUCCAAGAAUUAUUUUUGGAAAAUAAUUAUUCAUGAACUCAGUGUGCUAUUUUUUGUAAUACAAUAGUUGAGUACUACCAUAAAAAAUUGCUCUGAUUGUUGGUAGCUAGACAAUAGU
This 776-nucleotide long non-coding RNA is filed under the name Rattus norvegicus (Norway rat). Its description in RNAcentral is "long non-coding RNA NONRATT008535". The record is from RNAcentral. Lineage: Eukaryota; Metazoa; Chordata; Mammalia; Rodentia; Muridae.